GCCUUAUUAGUUUUAAUGGAAAAAUAUUUGUCUCGUAAACAAAUGAUAGGGGUUCAAUUCCCCUAUAAGGCU
This is a non-coding RNA of Methanobrevibacter sp. 87.7, 72 nucleotides long. NCBI's taxonomy places the organism in Archaea, Methanobacteriati, Methanobacteriota, Methanobacteria, Methanobacteriales, Methanobacteriaceae. The record is from Rfam.